UAAAUUCUGUUUUGAUCUUUGGAUUCAAAAGCUUCUGAACCUGAGGUAAGAUUACUUUCGUUCUGGUUCACAAAAGCUCUGUGAAAAGAAGAAUUGGCCAGGGUGCCACCAUGGUGGCUUAACAGACACACCUGGCCCUUCUGAACUGCCGCUGAGUCCUCACUGCAAAUCCUGCUGUCACAGGCAUUAGAAGCAGACAGGUCCUGCUCCCGAGGAGAGGAGGCUGGGCCAGAGGCACCUGUCAGAGCGAGGCCCCACUGCACCUGACUUACUAUUUCCUAACAGCGUAUGGAGCUGGGACGUCAGCUUGGUAUUUACUGGCUUGUGUUGUCCAGGUGGUCUCGCCAUGAUGCCACCAGUCACGCUGUGGCACAGCCAAGGAGGCCCUCACCAUAGGCUGAACAGGUGGCUGCUGAUCUUCCACUGUUAGCCUUCAAAACUGUGAGCUGAUUCCGUCUCUUGCUUAUAUAAGUAGCACAAGUUCUCAGCCUCAGCAUCUUGCUACACUAACAGAAAAUGGACUAAUACAGCACGCCAUAUGUCAAGUACUGUGGGUGGAAGACUUCAGCACCGCGCUCAGAGUUAGAGGCAGUGAGAGGACAGCCAACACAGGACUGAGAGGUGGGCUUUCCACUGAAGGACCCGUCCCAGGGCAGGAAAGGAGGAGACGCAGUUGAAGGCCCGCCAGUGGAGCGUGUGACAGCUGCUGGAUUAUGGGAUCCUGUGCUCUACGUCUGGAUCAUACAUAGAAUGUUGGACCAGGAUGGAGCCAUAGCAAUGAUGGCUAAGCCUCUCACGGGGCUGAAGACCAAGGCUGGGCUGGAGUUGCGAGUGAGGGGAAGGACAGGCUGCCCUGGGCCUGGGGCCUGUGGUGUGGAAGCUCUUCACAAAUGAGCAGUCUCAGAUCAGAGAGGACACAGCGGUGAGGGGCUGUGCACAGGGACGUGUGCUAGCAGAACCGUGAGUAAGGAGGGGCUCUCACUGCAGACGGAUCUUGGUUCACCAUGGGCACCUCUUGGUUUAGCACCUUCCUCUCUGUUGGGUGACUCACACGCCUGCUGUGUACCUGGCACUGGGUUGGGCACUUCUGGGGCAUGCUCUUCCCCACCCUUGACCCCCACAGCCCCUGGCUUGGGAUUACAUGGUACAGAACAUCCCUCUUUGUUCCGCCAUCAGCUGGUCCUUUCUGGGAGCAGCUCCAGGCUCGCUGUCAUUCUCUCCUGCUUCCCUGCCAUGCUGCCUGUUCUUGCAGAAAACGCUUCUUAGGGCUUGGGUCCUCAGCCACUUGCCAGGCUCAUGGCCGAGCUGGUCAGCAGCACCACUGUUGGGAGACUGGCCUCUGCCCCCUCCCAGGGGGGCUCCUGUUCUCCAGGUCUAGGGCUGUUAUCCUGCCAUGCGCCCGCCUGGCCUCUGCCUCCCUCUCCUGGCCAGCUCCUGCACCCUUUCUGUAUCCUCCUCGUUCCUCAGCUGAUGAACUGGCUUCCUACUCUGCUGGGUGCUUUUGUUUUCUGGGAAAAAAAGUGCUUGCACCAGCUCCCUGGACCACACUACCCUGGGACUGUGGAGGGAGGCCCCUCCUGUGUGCACUGGACCCACUCGUGUCACUGUCUCCUAGAUCAUUCCCCAAGCACAGUCCGCCGAGUUGCACUCAUCAUAAGUGGUUUUCUGAAAUCUACCUCCAUGCCCCCCACCUCCUAAGGGCCAGCUGCACGCCCUCCUCCAGAUCAUGUGUUGGGUCCCCUUGCGCUUCUGGCUGCCUGCCACAUGCCCCUUUCUGCUCAUGGGCUUUGGUUCUUCCUGACUCCUCAGCCCGUGAGCGCUGGUGAGGCCCCAGGCUCCAUCCAUGGGCCUCUUCGCCCCUGCUUGCAUUCAUUCUCUGGUCAGGCUCAUCCCUCUUCGCCUGAAUGAAUGAAGCAAGAUGGGGCUCCUGCUGCCUGAGAAUCCAUAGAUCUCAGAAAAGAAACACCCCCCCUCCUGAUCAUUUGCUAACACAGGGUGUCAAAACCAUGCUGAGCUGGCCAGCGUGGACAGCAGCCACUCUGCAGGGGACAGGGUGUCCCGUGCAUGCCUUUUCUAGCAAGAGUCUGAGUUUGUAAGAUCUUUGGGCAGGAGUGCGGUGAUCACCUCUGCAGGAUUUUCCGGCCUGCUCAAAACUAUGAUUCCGUUUCUACGUUAACUCCCUGCAGCUCACACCCUUGGCUCAUCUGUCCUGAGAGAUGGGACUGCCUUUUCAAACAAGGCGAGCGUAAGGAGUAACCACGUGACGACAAAGCAGGAAGGCAGCCCUGGUGUCACGGGGGGCGGUGCCGUGCUCAUGCCCAGG
Lepus europaeus (European hare) is the source of this 2323-nucleotide long non-coding RNA. RefSeq lists it as uncharacterized. The transcript has 4 exons. NCBI's taxonomy places the organism in Eukaryota, Metazoa, Chordata, Mammalia, Lagomorpha, Leporidae. The record is from RefSeq and is a predicted model, not a curated record.